This 315-nucleotide ribosomal RNA is filed under the name Triticum aestivum (bread wheat). RNAcentral describes it as "partial small subunit ribosomal RNA". Lineage: Eukaryota; Viridiplantae; Streptophyta; Magnoliopsida; Poales; Poaceae. The record is from RNAcentral.
AUGUGGCCCUCCAAGCAGUUGUUUGAGAGAUUUAGCAUGCUGAGGGACGGCAGAUCUGAAAUGCUGGGAGGAAUGAGACCUGAAAGUUCAUUGCAUGAGAGGUCAAGGAACUCCAAGAGCUCCAAACUGCCGAUUCUUUCUGGAAUGCUGCCUGAAAGGUCAUUUAUGGACAAGUUCAGAAACCGGAGACCUAUCAGUUUGUUCACAGCCCUUCCAGGAUAUGUUGACCGACAGUUGGAAAUUCCAACUUGGUUCGACCCAUGGGGGAAGAUUAAGCCUCAUGGAUGUAAAGUUGCCAAAGGCUACCGGAAUUGA